CCGCAGCCCGACUUGAACGGAGCUCUUUUUUUAUUGCGAAUAUGGUCAAGUUCUAUUUAACGACUCACGUUAAUCGCAAUGAAAAAAAGCGGGAGUGGAAGGCGGAUUAAGC
Molecule: unclassified non-coding RNA, 112 nt
Filed under: Epilithonimonas mollis
Lineage: Bacteria; Pseudomonadati; Bacteroidota; Flavobacteriia; Flavobacteriales; Weeksellaceae
Description: Chryseobacterium molle Flavo-1 RNA
Source: RNAcentral